UAGUCCUACCUGGGAGUUAUGGUGG
RNAcentral lists this non-coding RNA (25 nucleotides) under Mus musculus (house mouse). The record is from RNAcentral. Lineage: Eukaryota; Metazoa; Chordata; Mammalia; Rodentia; Muridae.